GAUCAUGGCUCAGGAUGAACGCUAGCUACAGGCUUAACACAUGCAAGUCGAGGGGCAGCAUGGUCUUAGCUUGCUAAGGCCGAUGGCGACCGGCGCACGGGUGAGUAACACGUAUCCAACCUGCCGUCUACUCUUGGACAGCCUUCUGAGAGGAAGAUUAAUACAAGAUGGCAUCAUGAGUUCACAUGUUCACAUGAUUAAAGGUNUUCCGGGUAGACGAG
RNAcentral lists this ribosomal RNA (221 nucleotides) under uncultured bacterium. Its description in RNAcentral is "partial 16S ribosomal RNA". It matches the Rfam family "Bacterial small subunit ribosomal RNA", at positions 15 to 226 of the family's 1533-position model. The record is from RNAcentral.